Molecule: ribosomal RNA, 1044 nt
Filed under: marine metagenome
Description: bacterial SSU rRNA
Rfam family: Bacterial small subunit ribosomal RNA
Source: RNAcentral
AGAGUUUGAUCCUGGCUCAGGACGAACGCUGGCGGCGUGCUUAACACAUGCAAGUCUAAGGAGAAAGUUCCUUCGGGAGCAAGUAAACUGGCGAACGGGUGAGUAACGCGUAGGUAACCUACCCUUAAGCUCGGGAUAACCCACCGAAAGGUGAGCUAAUACCGGAUAAUAUCUUUCCUCAUAAGGGGUAAAGAUCAAAGGUGGCUUCGGCUAUCACUUAUGGAUGGGCCUGCGUCUGAUUAGCUAGUUGGUAAGGUAAUGGCUUACCAAAGCAAUGAUCAGUAGCUGGUCUGAGAGGGCGAACAGCCACAUUGGGACUGAGAUACGGCCCAGACUCCUACGGGAGGCAGCAGUGGGGAAUUUUGCGCAAUGGGCGAAAGCCUGACGCAGCAACGCCGCGUGAUCGAAGAAGCUCUGAGGAGUGUAAAGAUCUGUCAUAGGGGAAGAAAAAUUUCGUUAUUAACACCAUCGAAGCAUGACGGUACCCUAUAAGAAAGCCCCGGCUAACUUCGUGCCAGCAGCCGCGGUAAUACGAGGGGGGCAAGCGUUGUCCGGAUUUAUUGGGCGUAAAGAGUUCGUAGGCGGAUUAGUAAGUCGAUAUUGAAAUACAAUGGCUUAACCAUUGAAACAGUAUGGAUACUGCUAAUCUUGAAUUAUGUAGAGGUAAGUGGAAUUUCUGGUGUAGCGGUGAAAUGCGUAGAUAUCAGAAGGAACACCAAAGGCGAAGGCAACUUACUGGGCAUUAAUUGACGCUGAGGAACGAAAGCGUGGGUAGCAAACAGGAUUAGAGACCCUGGUAGUCCACGCCGUAAACGAUGAGCACUUGGUGGUGGAAGAUUCGACCCUUUCACUGUCGGAGUUAACGCGUUAAGUGCUCCGCCUGGGGACUACGGCCGCAAGGCUGAAACUCAAAGGAAUUGACGGGGACCCGCACAAGUAGUGGAGCAUGUGGUUUAAUUCGAUGCAACGCGAAGAACCUUACCUGGACUUGACAUGUUUGUGAAACUCCGGUGAAAGCCGGAGCCUCCGCGAGCUUGCUCAAGG